Molecule: ribosomal RNA, 466 nt
Filed under: uncultured bacterium
Lineage: Bacteria
Description: partial 16S ribosomal RNA
Rfam family: Bacterial small subunit ribosomal RNA
Source: RNAcentral
GGACGAACGCUGGCGGCGUGCUUAACACAUGCAAGUCGAACGGUGAACUCCGCUUGCGGGGGGAUCAGUGGCGAACGGGUGGGUAACACGUGGGCAACCUGCCCUCAGCUCUGGGAUAACUCCAAGAAAUUGGGGCUAAUACCGGAUAUGACCGCUGACCGCAUGGUCUGGUGGUGGAAAGAUUUAUCGGCUGGGGAUGGGCCCGCGGCCUAUCAGCUUGUUGGUGGGGUAGUGGCCUACCAAGGCGACGACGGGUAGCCGGCCUGAGAGGGUGACCGGCCACACUGGGACUGAGACACGGACCAGACUCCUACGGGAGGCAGCAGUGGAGAAUAGUGCGCAAUGGGCGAAAGCCUGAAGCAGCGACGCCGCGUGGGGGAUAACGGCCUUCGGGUUGUAAACCUCUUUCAGCUGGGACGAAGCGAAAGUGACGGUACCUGCAGAAGAAGCACCGGCCAACUACGUG